UACGUAGGUGACAAGCGUUAUCCGGAAUUACUGGGCGUAAAGCGCACGCAGGCGGCUGAGUAAGUCUGACGUGAAAUCUCCCGGCUUAACCGGGAGCGGUCGUUGGAAACUACUUGGCUUGAGGCGAUGAGAGGGGUGUGGAAUUCCCGGUGUAGUGGUGGAAUGCGUAGAUAUCGGGAGGAACAUCAGUGGCGAAAGCGGCACCCUGGCAUUGGCCUGACGCUCAGGUGCGAAAGCGUGGGGAGCGAACGGG
RNAcentral lists this ribosomal RNA (253 nucleotides) under uncultured bacterium. Its description in RNAcentral is "partial 16S ribosomal RNA". It matches the Rfam family "Bacterial small subunit ribosomal RNA", at positions 524 to 776 of the family's 1533-position model. The record is from RNAcentral.